This 71-nucleotide transfer RNA is filed under the name Methanoculleus sp. RNAcentral's name for it is "tRNA-Gly". It matches the Rfam family "tRNA". Rfam says of the family: Transfer RNA (tRNA) molecules are approximately 80 nucleotides in length. Lineage: Archaea; Methanobacteriati; Methanobacteriota; Methanomicrobia; Methanomicrobiales; Methanomicrobiaceae. The record is from RNAcentral.
GCGAUUGUAGUCUAGCGGUAGGACAGUGGCUUCCCAAGCCUCUAACUCGGGUUCGAUCCCCGGCAAUCGCA